GGAACCGGAGCUAAUACCGGAUAAUAUUUUGAACCGCAUGGUUCAAAAGUGAAAGACGGUCUUGCUGUCACUUAUAGAUGGAUCCGCGCUGCAUUAGCUAGUUGGUAAGGUAACGGCUUACCAAGGCAACGAUGCAUAGCCGACCUGAGAGGGUGAUCGGCCACACUGGAACUGAGACACGGUCCAG
RNAcentral lists this ribosomal RNA (187 nucleotides) under uncultured Staphylococcus sp. RNAcentral's name for it is "partial 16S ribosomal RNA". It matches the Rfam family "Bacterial small subunit ribosomal RNA", at positions 153 to 334 of the family's 1533-position model. The record is from RNAcentral. Lineage: Bacteria; Bacillati; Bacillota; Bacilli; Caryophanales; Staphylococcaceae.